GUUGGUGCUUGCAUCAACUAGAUUUAACAUUAAGAUGAGUGGCGAACUGGUGAGUAACACGUGGGUAACCUGCCUCGAAGCAGGGGAUAACAUUUGGAAACAAGUGCUAAUACCGUAUAACAACUCAAACCACAUGGUUUGAGUUUGAAAGAUGGUUUCGGCUAUCACUUCGAGAUGGACCCGCGGCGUAUUAGCUAGUUGGUAAGGUAAUGGCUUACCAAGGCGAUGAUACGUAGCCGACCUGAGAGGGUAAUCGGCCACAUUGGGACUGAGACACGGCCCAAACUCCUACGGGAGGCAGCAGUAGGGAAUCUUCCACAAUGGACGCAAGUCUGAUGGAGCAAUGCCGCGUGAGUGAAGAAGGGUUUCGGCUCGUAAAACUCUGUUGUUGGAGAAGAACAGGUGUUAGAGUAACUGUUAACAUCUUGACGGUAUCCAACCAGAAAGCCACGGCUAACUACGUGCCAGCAGCCGCGGUAAUACGUAGGUGGCAAGCGUUGUCCGGAUUUAUUGGGCGUAAAGAGGGCGCAGGCGGUUUUUUAAGUCUGAUGUGAAAGCCUUCGG
RNAcentral lists this ribosomal RNA (564 nucleotides) under uncultured Lactobacillales bacterium. Its description in RNAcentral is "bacterial SSU rRNA". It matches the Rfam family "Bacterial small subunit ribosomal RNA", at positions 72 to 607 of the family's 1533-position model. The record is from RNAcentral. Lineage: Bacteria; Bacillati; Bacillota; Bacilli; Lactobacillales.